RNAcentral lists this ribosomal RNA (253 nucleotides) under uncultured bacterium. Its description in RNAcentral is "partial 16S ribosomal RNA". It matches the Rfam family "Bacterial small subunit ribosomal RNA", at positions 524 to 776 of the family's 1533-position model. The record is from RNAcentral.
UACAGAGGGGGCAAGCGUUGUUCGGAAUUACUGGGCGUAAAGGGCGCGUAGGCGGCCUGUUAAGUCGAACGUGAAAUCCCUGGGCUCAACCCAGGAACUGCGUCCGAUACUGGCAGGCUUGAAUCCGGGAGAGGGAUGUGGAAUUCCAGGUGUAGCGGUGAAAUGCGUAGAUAUGCGGAGGAACACCGAUGGCGAAGGCAGCCCCCUGGGCCAAUACUGACGCUCAGGCACGAAAGCGUGGGGAGCAAACAGG